AGCAGCCGCGGUAAUUCCAGCUCCAAUAGCGUAUAUUAAAGUUGUUGCAGUUAAAAAGCUCGUAGUUGAACCUUAGGCCCGUGCGGGCGGUCCGUCCUCUGGGCGAGCACUGCUUCGUCGCGGGUCUCACCUUCUAGCGAGCGUGGAUGCCAUUUAUUUGGUGUCCGCGGGAACCAGGACCUUUACCUUGAAAAAAUUAGAGUGCUCAAAGCGGGCUCCGACGCUUGAAUACAUUAGCAUGGAAUAAUGAAAUAGGACGAUGGUUCUAUUUUGUUGGUUUCCGGGACGGUCGUAAUGAUUAAUAGGGAUAGUUGGGGGCAUUCGUAUUCAAUUGUCAGAGGUGAAAUUCUUGGAUUUAUUGAAGACGAACUACUGCGAAAGCAUUUGCCAAGGAUGUUUUCAUUAAUCAAGAACGAAAGUUGGGGGAUCGAAGACGAUCAGAUACCGUCGUAGUCUCAACCAUAAACUAUGCCGACUGGGAAUCGGGGCGAUGUUACUUUUCUGACUCGCUCGGCGCCCC
RNAcentral lists this ribosomal RNA (520 nucleotides) under uncultured Paraglomus. RNAcentral describes it as "bacterial SSU rRNA". It matches the Rfam family "Eukaryotic small subunit ribosomal RNA", at positions 569 to 1089 of the family's 1831-position model. Lineage: Eukaryota; Fungi; Glomeromycota; Glomeromycetes; Paraglomerales; Paraglomeraceae. The record is from RNAcentral.